GAAGUAGACCAGGCAACCGCGGAAUCGAAAGAUUCCGAGGAAAGUCCGAACACCACAGGGCAGGGUGCUGGGUAAUACCCAGUCAGGGUAACCUGAAGGAUAGUGUCACAGAAAACAGACCGCCCAUAUAAGGUUAAUGAAAAUUCUUAUAUGGGUAAGGGUGAAAAGGUGAGGUAAGAGCUCACCAGCAGGAAGGGUGACCUUCCUGGCUUGACAAACCCCACCCGGUGCAAGGCCAAAUAGGAGGGGUUGAGGUGGCCCGCUGACCCUCGGGUUGGCCGCUUGAGGUAAGGAGUAAUCCUUACCCUAGAUAGAUGGUUGCCGCCCCUAAAAAGGGGAACAGAAUUCGGCUUAUGGUCUGCUUCUUCC
Molecule: RNase P RNA, 369 nt
Filed under: Dictyoglomus thermophilum
Lineage: Bacteria; Pseudomonadati; Dictyoglomota; Dictyoglomia; Dictyoglomales; Dictyoglomaceae
Also listed under: 2 other names
Description: RNase P RNA component class A
Rfam family: Bacterial RNase P class A
About the family: Ribonuclease P (RNase P) is a ubiquitous endoribonuclease, found in archaea, bacteria and eukarya as well as chloroplasts and mitochondria. Its best characterised activity is the generation of mature 5'-ends of tRNAs by cleaving the 5'-leader elements of precursor-tRNAs.
Source: RNAcentral